RNAcentral lists this unclassified non-coding RNA (1897 nucleotides) under Hevea brasiliensis (rubber tree). Lineage: Eukaryota; Viridiplantae; Streptophyta; Magnoliopsida; Malpighiales; Euphorbiaceae. The record is from RNAcentral.
GUAUUGACGUCUUUGAUAAUUGAAUACGGUUCUAUAUUACAAACUCUGGAAAUGAAUGAUUUCACUGAAAGCUAAUAUGCUGUAUUUAAGCUUCCACCUUCUCGUCUGCUUCGAGUUUCUUUUCCUUGUUGUCGAGGGUCAAAUCCUUCCAACUCCCGAGCUCUUCUGCAGAAUCCUCAAUACUGCUAAGUUUCUGCACCUUGUAUUGGUGUUUCAUUGAAAAUGCAAUGAAAAUCAAGAAAUUAAUUACUCCGAGAACUGCUAGCAACCAGUAGAAUAAAUCCAGUUUUCCUUUGUUUAAAUUGCUUUUAAGCCAUCUUCCUUUUGUUGCUUUCUGUACAACGAAUACUAGCAAACUACUCACGAAAUAUCCCAUCGAGAGUGUGCUGAGAAAUAGGCCUGUGCUCAUAGAUUUCAUCCCUUCUGGUGCCUCCCUGAUGAAAAACUCUAGCUGUCCUACAUAGGCAAAAGCUUCCCCAGCACCUACAAUGAAGAAUUGAGGCACUAACCAAAACGCGCUUAUCUUGAAGUUAUGAUGGAUGGCAUGUUCCCUUCGUCGUUUUUCUACCAGAGCUGAAGCUACCAUACCAACAAUAGAGAGUAGUAGUCCAAUUCCAACUCUCUGAAGGCUUGUGAUUCCUUGGCUGUUGUGAGUGAUUUUUCUGGCAAUACGUACUGUGACCCUUUCGUUUAUGGAAGUAAACAGAAGUAUGCUAAUAAAGAGAAACACGGAUAAGGAACCUGCAGGGACAGCAAAGUUUCCAACAUUCCGGUUCAUGAAGGUAGCUUGUUCAAUGGUGAAGGUAUUCAUCUGAGAGUAUACUGUCCAAAAAAGUAUGCAUGUGGACCAUAUGGGAAUCAAUUUGAGCACCAUUUUCACUUCUUCGACUUCUGUAACUGUUGAAACUAUCCAACGAUUCUUGCUAUUCUCAUUUGCAGCUGCAGAGUCAUCAAGAAUGGCUGCCUUGUCAAGACACCUCAACAUAUGUGUAUGUGGGACUUUGGCAUUGUGAUAUUCAUUCAAGAAGCCAGUAUCAGAAGGGUAACUAAGCUUUCUCUUCCUCCAAGCUAAAAGCAGAACCCUCCAUAUGAUAGUCAAAGGACUUCCUUGAGGCUUCUUGAAUCGAUACAACGUUGUUCCACCAAUCAAUACAGCGACCCCGAGGACCAUUGUGCCUGCUGAUAUCCCAUAUCCCCAUCCUCUUCCUACAUUGUCUUGUAAGUACACCAGCACAGUCACUGCAAACAGAGAACCAAGGCUUAUGCAGAAAUAGAAUCUGUUGAAGAAGUAUAUCAUGGACUUGUUCUCCUUAGGAUCUGAUGAGUCAAAUUGGUCUGAACCAAACCCGGAGACAUUUGACUUAAUUCCACCACCACCAAGAGCUAGGAUGUAAAGCGCCGUAUAGAGAAGAGCAAGCUGCUGGCCACUGGCUUCAAUGCAGUGACCACUUUUUCUUGGGUUACAUUCAGGCGGCUUCAUGCCUGGAAUGGAUGUCGCCAAUGUCAAAAGCGUAACCCCCACAGCAGCAAUUGAAGCAAAGAUUCCAACAGUCAGAUAACGUCCGAGUUUAGCAUCUGCCAAGAAACCACCUAGAAGACCAAGAAGAUUAAGUGUCCCCAUGAAAUUGGUGACAAUGUUGGCAGAUUUGGAGGAUGGAAGAUGUAAAUCUCCAACUAAGUACGUCACUAAAUUCAUCGAAAUCCCCAUAACACAUACCCUUUCUGAUAGCUCAGUUCCUAGGAUAAGUCCUGCAGCUAGCCAUCCCCCUGUCCUAGACUUAUCCACCGGAUUUCCUCGAAAAUCAACCAUAUUACCAUCUUCUGCACCAUCUUUUCCAGCAUGGUUAUCAACCAAAACCAUUGCUGUAAUAGAGAGAAGGAGAUGAUAUUAUAUUUG